RNAcentral lists this ribosomal RNA (656 nucleotides) under uncultured Rhizopogon. Its description in RNAcentral is "eukaryotic LSU rRNA". The stretch from base 225 to 379 matches the Rfam family "5.8S ribosomal RNA". The record is from RNAcentral. Lineage: Eukaryota; Fungi; Basidiomycota; Agaricomycetes; Boletales; Rhizopogonaceae.
AUUAACGAAUAUAAAUCGGAAAGCUGUCGCUGGCCUCUCGGGGCAUGUGCACGCUGACCGUGUUUCAAAAAUUUCUCACCUGUGAACCUAAUGUAGGAUGCCUCUCCUCUGGGAGAGGGGACCUAUGUCAUCAUAUACAUCUUCGUGUAGAAAGUCUUAGAAUGUUUACUAUCAGAGAGUCGCGACUUCUAGGAGACGCGAAACUCUGAGAUAAAAGUUAUUACAACUUUCAGCAAUGGAUCUCUUGGCUCUCGCAUCGAUGAAGAACGCAGCGAAAAGCGAUAUGUAAUGUGAAUUGCGGAUCUACAGUGAAUCAUCGAAUCUUUGAACGCACCUUGCGCUCCUCGGUGUUCCGAGGAGCAUGCCUGUUUGAGUGUCAGUAAAUUCUCAACCCUUCUUGAUUGAGGGAGUUUGGAUAGUGGGGGUUGCUGGAGACUUUUAUUAGACUCGAGCUCUCCUGAAAUGCAUCGGCUUGCGGUCGACUUUCGACUUUGCGCGACAAGGCUUUCGGCGUGAUAAUGAUCGCCGUUCGGCUGAAGCGCAUGACUGAAGGUUUCGCGCCUCUAAUACGUCGACUCUUAUUAUCUCUUCGGAGAGAAAAGGUCUUCUUUAUUGACUUUUGACCUCAAAUCAGGUAGGACUACCCGCUGAACUUA